RNAcentral lists this long non-coding RNA (214 nucleotides) under Bos taurus (domestic cattle). RNAcentral's name for it is "long non-coding RNA NONBTAT000882". Lineage: Eukaryota; Metazoa; Chordata; Mammalia; Artiodactyla; Bovidae. The record is from RNAcentral.
AGCAAUGGGUAUCGAUAGGUAUUUCUGCUGGGAUUACAAAGGAAUCAUCAUCCCUUCCCAGUUAUUGUUGUAGCAUUAAAAUAUUUUAGCUUUUUUUUUUUAACCCCAUAAGACAUCACACAGGCAAUAUUUGCAUGGAUAUACACAUUCACUUACCACUUUUUUGAUUAUCAUUUUUCUUGUAUUUUGUAAAUACAGUAAAGUGUGCUGACUA